UACGUAGGUGGCAAGCGUUGUCCGGAUUUACUGGGCGUAAAGAGCGCGCAGGCGGUCGGAUCAGUCGAAUGUGAAAGCCCCCGGCUCAACUGGGGAGGGUCAUUCGAUACUGUCCGACUCGAAGGCAGGAGAGGGAAGCGGAAUUCCCGGUGUAGUGGUGAAAUGCGUAGAUAUCAGGAGGAACACCGGUGGCGAAGGCGUUCAUCUGGCCCGAUACUGACGCUGAGGCGCGAAAGCUAGGGGAGCAAACGGG
Molecule: ribosomal RNA, 253 nt
Filed under: uncultured bacterium
Lineage: Bacteria
Description: partial 16S ribosomal RNA
Rfam family: Bacterial small subunit ribosomal RNA
Source: RNAcentral